RNAcentral lists this ribosomal RNA (435 nucleotides) under uncultured bacterium. Its description in RNAcentral is "partial 16S ribosomal RNA". It matches the Rfam family "Bacterial small subunit ribosomal RNA", at positions 28 to 507 of the family's 1533-position model. The record is from RNAcentral.
GAUGAACGCUGGCGGUAUGCUUAACACAUGCAAGUCGAACGGACUCUUCGGAGUUAGUGGCGGACGGGUGAGUAACGCGUGAGAAUCUGGCUUUGGGUUCGGGACAACCACUGGAAACGGUGGCUAAUACCGGAUGUGCCGAGAGGUAAAAGAGAAAUUGCCUGAAGAUGAGCUCGCGUCUGAUUAGCUAGUUGGUGAGGUAAAGGCUCACCAAGGCAGCGAUCAGUAGCUGGUCUGAGAGGAUGACCAGCCACACUGGGACUGAGACACGGCCCAGACUCCUACGGGAGGCAGCAGUGGGGAAUUUUCAGCAAUGGGCGAAAGCCUGACGGAGCAAUACCGCGUGAGGGAAGAAGGCUCUUGGGUUGUAAACCUCUUUUCUUAGGGAAGAACAAAAUGACGGUACCUAAGGAAUCAGCAUCGGCUAACUCCGUG